Hyaena hyaena (striped hyena) is the source of this 237-nucleotide long non-coding RNA. RefSeq lists it as uncharacterized. The transcript is spliced from 2 exons. The record is from RefSeq and is a predicted model, not a curated record. NCBI's taxonomy places the organism in Eukaryota, Metazoa, Chordata, Mammalia, Carnivora, Hyaenidae.
UGUACACACGGGACACCGACGACUGCAGUCCGGCUGCUUGCGAAAGAGCUGUGUUUCCUGCUGGUGGUAGUACUGGGUCGUUUCCGAAACGGUGACGUCAGGGGUAGCGCAGUGCUCGGGCCGCAGACGAGUCCCGGGAAGCUCCUCGGCCCUCUCUGCAAAGCCAAGUCUGAAGGCUGAUGGUGGACGCCUAUGAAAAUGCACGUCUCUGAGGAAAUCAAAUCUUUGAGAACCGAC